UACGUAGGGUGCAAGCGUUGUCCGGAAUUAUUGGGCGUAAAGAGCUUGUAGGCGGUUUGUCGCGUCUGCUGUGAAAUUUCGGGGCUCAACCCCGAACUUGCAGUGGGUACGGGCAGACUAGAGUGUGGUAGGGGAGACUGGAAUUCCUGGUGUAGCGGUGAAAUGCGCAGAUAUCAGGAGGAACACCGGUGGCGAAGGCGGGUCUCUGGGCAACUACUGACGCUGAGGAGCGAAAGCGUGGGGAGCGAACAGG
Molecule: ribosomal RNA, 253 nt
Filed under: uncultured bacterium
Lineage: Bacteria
Description: partial 16S ribosomal RNA
Rfam family: Bacterial small subunit ribosomal RNA
Source: RNAcentral